Molecule: long non-coding RNA, 250 nt
Filed under: Mytilus galloprovincialis (Mediterranean mussel)
Lineage: Eukaryota; Metazoa; Mollusca; Bivalvia; Mytilida; Mytilidae
Source: RNAcentral
GACCUACAUGUAUGUUGUGACAUACGUGUCUAUGAUUACUAGUGACACAGAUUAUCGAAUACAACAAAAUUAUGGUUCGAUUUAGAAAUAUAGCAAUUGCUACAUUUUUCAUAUCUACUCUGUUGUCGUGUAGCUGUUCACAGACUAAGCGACUCCUAGACGAACAGUUAACAGUUGAAUCCAGGAUGCACCAAUUUGAAGUGGAGAUACAGAAUCUAAAAGCCAAGCUUGCUGAAAAAGACACGCAGGU